CAAAGUCAAUGAUUUUCAAGGGAUCUCCUCGUCGUGGGUUUUGUUUAGGAAAAUGGCAUAAAGGGAAGAAGUAGUUGUGUUCCUUAGUUCAUCCUUUUUUGAAAGUUUACUGGAUGAUCAUCAUGCACGAAACACUUUGGUAGGUUCUGUAGAUACACAGAACCAACUCUUCCUUCAGGGAACUUAUACAGGAUACCAAGGGAGAGAGAGAAUACUCAACUACCAUUUACCACACUAUGUGAAAAGUAAUAAAGUACAGAGGGGCAACUAUUCAGCCCUUGGGGAGCUUUGAUCAAUGCUCAUAACAGCAUGCCCUUGAAAUAGGACUUCUGAGUGAGUGCAAAAAGCCAGGACACAGGUGUCGGGGUGAGGUCUGUUCAGAAGCUUGGAAUGCUCUAGUAUGGCUGGUUGGGACCAGAGCACCCUGUGGAGCAGAGCUGCCAGACAGCUCUAGAACACACGUCUUCAGACUUUUGCACAGAGGGUAGAGAUGGCCCACUCCCACAUGUCUGUGAGGAAGUUCCAGAAGGGACUGUGGAAGUGGGCUGGGGCCAGAUCAUGAAGGACCUUGUGCAACAUUAAGGAAGUGGAACUUUCACCUGAAAGCGAUGGGGAAGCACCGAUAGAUUUUAGGCAACUGAGCAGAUUGCGUUAUAGAAAGACAAUUCUAGUAGUUAUUCACAUGAAAGAUAAAAUUUUGGGGAGGAGUUGGUGAGAUUAAAGAAGAUAAACAAAUUCAAAGGCUUCUAUAAUAAUAAAGUAAAUAAACAAUGAGGGGCAAACACAGAAAGUUAUUGUAAUUAAGAGAGAGUGCACUAGAGUCAACUGCCUGGGUUCAAAUCCUGGUUUUACCAUUAAUUGAUAUGUGACAGCUGGGAAAAUUACUUAUCUGUUCCUUAAUUUCCUUACUUGUAAAAUGGAGAUAAUAAUAAUAGUAGGGUUGUUUGAAGAUUAAAUGAGUGGAAAUAUGUAACAUAUUUGCAUCAGUUGCUGGCACAUGCAAAUGCUCAAUAGAUGUUAGCUAUAACUAAAGCAAAAACAAAGAGGAUGCAGAAAAAAGAAAAAAAAUGGACAUCAAAUGUGUGUGAGAGAUGAUUCCAGGCAUAUGCAAGAACUGUGGUUUAAGUGACCAUGUGGGUAGACACUGACAGCAUAACAGAGUUUAAUGGAAAAGAUGAUGAGUUUAAUUUUGGAUGUAUUGAGUUUGAGUUGCUUAUUGUAUAUUCAAGUAGAGAAGCCCUUUAUGAAAUUGAAUGUAUGAAUCUGGGAUUUAGGAAAAUAAUAUCUUGGACAGAGAUGUAGGUUUGCAAAACUUGGGUAGUAGAAGACACAAAUUUAUAUGGUCAUGCAAGAAAUUUCAAAGAGUGAGAAGAAAAAAAGUACUUGAGGACCAGAAGCUGGCCAACAUUAGCAUUGAGGGCAGUACAGGAGCAAAGGAGACUACAGAGAAGCCUAAGAAGGCAUAGCCACAAAGAAGGAUCAGCAGGAGGAAAGACAAGAACAAAAAGUGAGAAAUACUGCCAAGAUUGAAUAAGUCUGUGGGUCUAUGGGUGACAGAGCUUGCUAGUUGUCUCCCCAUCAUCAUAAUCCGCAUCUAAAGAAAUAAAAGUUUUGGCUGCCCCAUAUUGAAAUGGCAUUUCCCAGCCUCCCAUGUAAUUGGUGUGGCCAUGUAAUUAAAGCCCACAAUGGGAUAUAAAUGAAAGUGUCCCGUGACAGUAUCCAGGAACUUUCCUGAAGAGGCAGGUGGCUGAGCCUUUACACCAUCUUCAUCCUUGCCUCUGUUUGCUACCUAGGAUUUGGAUACUAUUAAUACCUUUACCUUGUCCAAGAAGAUCACAGCCACCUCUUGGUAAGUGGAGCUGUGAGCUGGAAGGAGCUUGCAUCCCAGAGUACCCUGUGGAGCAGAGCUGCCACACAGCUCUAGAACACAUGCCUUCAGACUUUUACACAGAGAGAAAUCAACAUCUGUCUUAUUAUGCUAGUAAUGUUUUGUUUUUGUUUUCUGUUUCUCCCAGCUGAACUUAAUUCUAAUCAACACACUAUGUUUUGUCCUGUUUUCUCUUUGACAGGAAAAUAUUUUGGGAGAAAUACUGAUGAGUUAAAGGCCCCCUUUAUCCUACCCAUUACAUUUCAUUUAAAAUUUCUAUGAAAAUAUGACAUGAACUGUUAGUUAUGGAGGAGUUAAAGUUGGAUGUUGCUUGUAUUAACAACAAUAACAAAAAACUAUGCAGUAAGUUCAACUCUAAAAACCAACCAAGAUGAUGUUUUGAAAAAUAAUUUUAUUUGAAAUCUCAUGUAUAAAUUACGGCCUGAGAUAUAUCUCAAAAGAAAAUUAUCUGUGGUUCUAAAUAAAAUUUGUCAAGGCAGAGUAUUUAGAAUGCAGAGAAGGGGGUGGUAUGGACAGAGGGUAGAGAUGGCCCACUCUUUGGAAAGAAGGUCUGAGAUCCGGGUGUAAUAAUGCAGGCCUCUGACUGUCAUUUCCCUGAGAGACACAACACAGCUUAGUGAAAGCACCAUGACAUGCCAUCCCAGUGAAAGAGCUUUCCUGGCAGCAUUCACCCCCCUAUGCCAGGGUUGCUCCCCACGGUCUGCUUAUCCUCCUUGAGUGGGAGCCCAGCCGCCGUGACUAAACAAGGCAGUAAGUAGAUUUGCCAGCCCAAAUGCCAGAUCAUCUGAAUACUUUCCCCCUUUCUUUCCUAGCCUCAUUCUGUUCUCCAGGGGAGCAUAAAAUGAGAGGGGAAGUGAGAAGAAAGAAACUGAGAGAGUAAAUGCUGCUUAAAGAAGCCAUACUCCCUGACCUUCAGUCUCAUUUAGCUCCUACAUAGCCUGGGGGAUAAAACUGACUGCUGAGGAUAUACCCAAGAGACCCUGGCUAGGAUUGUAAAAUUCAAACCAAAUACAGGGGGCAGGUGGGACAUGCAGACUUGGGAUUAAAACAAGGGUAUCCCUUGAGCGUCAAUUUUAUUAAGAUAUUUGAAGAAAAAAGCCCACUGGUUUCCUAGAACAAUAGACAGGAAAACUGAUACAAAUUCUUAUGACAAAAUGAGACUUCCAAGUUAUUUCAUGCCUGUGGCUCUAGCUUCAGGAUGUAACUCCACGUUUCCUGGGGCUCAUGAUGUUUCUCUUUUGAUAUCAGGAAUAUUUUGGUAAAUUUUUUUUCUGAAGCACUAGAGUAAGAUAAGUUCAGAAAAAAUGUGUCCAUUGGAUUUGACAAUUCUGAGGUCCCUGGUGAAGUGGUAAUAGCAUUUUUAGAGGGUUGGGUUUAGGAGGGAAUGAGAGAUGAGGAAGUAGGCCGAAUAAAAAGAGCUGGAUCCUAAAGAGAGAAACAGAGAAAAGAAAGGAGCAGAGUGGAGGAUGGGGACCUGUCAUCAUCAUCUCUGUGUGCAGUGCAAGGGAGGACAGUGUCAUAAUUGUGGUGGCGUGCUCAAAGAAGGGACUGCCCUGAAGAUAAGGUGGCAUCCACCCAGCACAUAUGGCCAUGGGAGGUGGCUAGCAGCUGAGCAGGACAAACUUGGGGAUGCUAGUGGGCUAUGGAGUAGGUCAGUGUUUGGAGAGGAAAAAGCUCUGGCCUGUAUUUGGAAGAGCUAGAGUCUCUUCUGACUGUGUCCAGAGUUACUAAUGUAAAUUGGGCAAAUAGCUCUUACUGUUUUUAUCUCAGUAAUGGAAUAGAUGCUCUUUAAAUAUUAGUCCAGCUCUAACAUUCAAUAAUACAGCUAUAUAUUUUGAUGACAGCUCACGGUUUCUUCCUGAACCCUGUUGGCUCCCCAGACACUUAACUCCAGGUCGGGAUUCUUUAACAACUGGCAUCUGGAGGCAACAUUGUUUCUCUGAGAAAGUGAAGGUUUUUGCUGGCUGGAUCAGAAAAAGGAAGCGAUGCCUGGGAGUGGAGUAGCCAUCUGGGGGAUGGUGUCAAAAGCCACAUACUGAGCAUUGUGAAGGGAAGAGCGUCAAGGAGCAGCAAGCAGUUGCACUAGUCUUGGACUCGUUAUCUAAGUAUCAGGAAAAUUCCCCCUUUGGCACUCCAGCUGUGAAUCACAAACUCUUAAUUUGUGCCAUCUAAGGAAAAAGAAAUGGGACACCUGUGCUUUUGUGGUAACAUAAUUUUGGAAACAGCUCACGAACAAUCAGCUUAUCAUAUGAAAUGUAAGUGCUUUGGUAAAAUAUUUAGUGAUGGAAAUUGCUAGUGAACUUCUAUUGAUAUAUCUACAAUGUUGGGCUGAGAGAGGCCUUCUCAGCAAUGUGUUCCAGUCACGUAGGGCUGCUGCUGUCCUUUUUAAGAAUUUCCUGUAUUCUUGUUUUGAGGCCUUCACCCUAUUUCUCAUUUAGAAAGCCUUUUGCACCCAAUCUCCACCUUUCUAAAUCCUUCAAGUUCAAGCUCAGAUCUUUCCAAAUCAAGUUUUCCCUCACCAUUUGAGUUGAAAUAAAUUACUCUCUCAUGUGUUAACCUGUAUUAGUUAGCAAUUAACACAGGAAAAAAGAAUCACUCCAAAACUUAAAAGCUUAAGACAACAACUGCUCAUUUGCUCAUAAUUGUAUGGGUCAAUAACUGGGCAAAGUUUAACUGGCAUUGAUGGGGUUUACGUCUAUGUUUCCGUCAGUUGGUGGACUGGCUGGGGGCCAACUGGCCAGCUGACAAGGACCUUACACUCAAGCCUGAGGCCUUGGCUAUGCUGCUUGGAAUGGCUGGACAGUUUGGGCCUCUGUCUUCACAAGCAGAGAGUAAAAGUCAUAAUGUUGUUGUAGAACACCAUUGUGCCCCAUUUCAUUGAUCAAAACAAGUCACAAGGCUGGCCCAGAUACCAAGGGUAAGGAUGGUAAAAUAAGACUCCAACAGAUUCUUUUUCAAAUAUGGCUUCAUUGUCUUGAUUUUUAAAAAAAUUCUGUAAUUUUCUUCAAAGUUGGAAUUCUAGGAUUAGUGAACCUGACAUUAUAAACAUCUUCAAUUGAGUUUUUCUACAAAUCAUGUUUUUCAAUUUUUAUUUUGAACUAAUUUUUGAUAGAAAAGUUGAAAAAAAUAGUACAGAUAAUUUUCAAAUAUUCUUUACCCAGCUUCACCAACAUCAACAUCUUACAUAAUCAAAAUAUAAUUGUCAGAGGAGGAAAAUCAACUUUGGUGCAAUACAAUUAACAAAACUAAAUACUUUAUGUGAAUUUCAACACUAAUGCACUUUUACUGUUUUAGACUCUAUCCAGGCUCCCACUUGCAUUUAUUUGUUACUCUGCCUGAGUUUCCUACAGUCUGUAGCAGUUCCUGAGCCUUCCCUUAUCUUUUAGAUUUUGACACUUCAGAAUAGUUUUGUUGUUGUUGCCGUUGUUCUUGUUGUUGAGACAGAGUCUUGCUCUGUUGCC
This is a long non-coding RNA of Sapajus apella (tufted capuchin), 5349 nucleotides long. RefSeq lists it as uncharacterized. Lineage: Eukaryota; Metazoa; Chordata; Mammalia; Primates; Cebidae. The record is from RefSeq and is a predicted model, not a curated record. The transcript is spliced from 3 exons.